RNAcentral lists this ribosomal RNA (469 nucleotides) under uncultured bacterium. RNAcentral describes it as "partial 16S ribosomal RNA". It matches the Rfam family "Bacterial small subunit ribosomal RNA", at positions 28 to 507 of the family's 1533-position model. The record is from RNAcentral.
GACGAACGCUGGCGGCGUGCUUAACACAUGCGAGUCGAACGAUGAUCCCCCGCGUUCGGGGGUGUUUCGUGGCGAACGGGUGAGUAAUACGUGAGUAACCUGCCCUUGACUCUGGGAUAAGCCUGGGAAACCGGGUCUAGUACUGGAUACUACUUCCUGCCGCCCGGUGGGGGGUGGAAUGGGUUUUACUGUUUUUGGGUGUGCUCACUGCCUAUCAGCUUGUUGGUGGAGUAAUGGCUAUCCAAGGCGACGACGGGUAGCCGGACUGAGAGGGUGACAGGCGACACUGGGACUGAGAGAAGGCAGAGACAGCGAAGGGAGGCAGCAGUGGGGAAUAUUGCACAAGGGGCGGCAGCCUGAUGAUGCGAGGCCGCGUGAGGGAUGACGGCCUUAGGGUUGAAGAACUCAUUCAGCAGGAAAGAAGCCACAAGUGACGGUACCUGAAGAAGAAGCGCCGGCUAACUACGUG